This 372-nucleotide unclassified non-coding RNA is filed under the name uncultured Gammaproteobacteria bacterium. RNAcentral's name for it is "contains 16S-23S intergenic spacer region". Lineage: Bacteria; Pseudomonadati; Pseudomonadota; Gammaproteobacteria. The record is from RNAcentral.
UCCGGUUUGUCACCGGCAGUCUCCCUAGAGUGCCCUUGCGUAGCAACUAGGGACAAGGGUUGCGCUCGUUGCGGGACUUAACCCAACAUCUCACGACACGAGCUGACGACAGCCAUGCAGCACCUGUGUUCCGGUUCUCUUGCGAGCACCCCCAGCUUUCACCGGGCUUCCGGACAUGUCAAGGGUAGGUAAGGUUGUUCGCGUUGCAUCGAAUUAAUCCACAUCAUCCACCGCUUGUGCGGGUCCCCGUCAAUUCCUUUGAGUUUUAAUCUUGCGACCGUACUCCCCAGGCGGUCAACUUCACGCGUUAGCUGCGGUACUGAGAACUUGCGCUCCCAACACCUAGUUGACAUCGUUUAGGGCGUGGACUAC